This 305-nucleotide ribosomal RNA is filed under the name uncultured bacterium. RNAcentral's name for it is "bacterial SSU rRNA". It matches the Rfam family "Bacterial small subunit ribosomal RNA", at positions 337 to 634 of the family's 1533-position model. The record is from RNAcentral.
GCCUACGGGGGGCAGCAGUAGGGAAUCUUCCACAAUGGGCGAAAGCCUGAUGGAGCAACGCCGCGUGGGUGAAGAAGGUCUUCGGAUCGUAAAACCCUGUUGUUAGAGAAGAAAGUGCGUGAGACUAACUGUUCACGUUUCGACGGUAUCUAACCAGAAAGCCACGGCUAACUACGUGCCAGCAGCCGCGGUAAUACGUAGGUGGCAAGCGUUAUCCGGAUUUAUUGGGCGUAAAGGGAACGCAGGCGGUCUUUUAAGUCUGAUGUGAAAGCCUUCGGCUUAACCGGAGUAGUGCAUUGGAAACU